GACGUAGGGCGCGAGCGUUGUCCGGAUUUAUUGGGCGUAAAGAGCGUGUAGGCGGCCAUUCAGGUCAGCUGUGAAAACUCGAGGCUCAACCUCGAGACGUCGGUUGAAACCGUUUGGCUAGAGUCCGGAAGAGGAGAGUGGAAUUCCCGGUGUAGCGGUGAAAUGCGCAGAUAUCGGGAAGAACACCCGUGGCGAAGGCGGCUCUCUGGGACGGUACUGACGCUGAGACGCGAAAGCGUGGGGAGCGAACAGG
Molecule: ribosomal RNA, 253 nt
Filed under: uncultured bacterium
Lineage: Bacteria
Description: partial 16S ribosomal RNA
Rfam family: Bacterial small subunit ribosomal RNA
Source: RNAcentral